This 492-nucleotide ribosomal RNA is filed under the name uncultured bacterium. RNAcentral describes it as "partial 16S ribosomal RNA". It matches the Rfam family "Bacterial small subunit ribosomal RNA", at positions 29 to 507 of the family's 1533-position model. The record is from RNAcentral.
AGUGAACGCUGGCGGUAGGCCUAACACAUGCAAGUCGAACGGCAGCACAGUAAGAGCUUGCUCUUACGGGUGGCGAGUGGCGGGCGGGUGAGGAAUACAGCGGAAUCUACUUUUUCGUGGGGGAUAACGUAGGGAAAGUUACGCUAAUACCGCAUACGACCUACGGGUGAAAGCAGGGGAUCUUCGGACCUUGCGCGAUUGAAUGAGCCGAUGUCGGAUUAGCUAGUUGGGGGGGUAAAGGCCCACCAAGGCCACGAACCCUAGCCUGUUUUAGGGGAUGACCCGGCCCACUUGAACCUAGGCCCCGUCCAGGCCCCCUCCGGAGGCAGCCGUUGGGAAUUUUUGACAAUUGGGGGAAGCCUGAUCCAGCCAUACCGCGUGUGUGAAGAAGGCCUUCGGGUUGUAAAGCCCUUUUGUUGGGAAAGAAAAGCAGCAGGUUAAUACCCCGCUGUUCUGACGUUACCCAAAGAAGAAGCACCGGCUAACUUCGUG